AGAGGGCACAGCAGUCACUGAGCCAGGAGCAGACGGGGCAGGUGGUCUCCAUGCUCGAGGCCUGGUGCCGGGGAGAGGCCCAGAUCCCCUCUAUCCACUGGGAUGGCAUGGCCGUGGUGUCCCUCACUGUGGCCCUGGCUGCCGCCUUCCUCAGCGCCCUCCACCCCAACAACCUGGCUGCCUCCCUCUAUAGACUGACCACCCUGAUGGGGCAGGGGCGACAUGAGGAAGUGGCCAGCCGAUGUAACACUCUUCUGGAGGUCGACGCCCCAGGAUCCCUGGAGCUGCGGCUCAUGCGAGCUCUGGCCUGGAUCCUGUCUGGGGCCAAAGUGGGUGAUGGCAUCAUAGAGUACCUCCAGGCCUUCGUCACAUAUGCCAACCAGACUCUGGGCUUUAUCCUCUCUCACCAACGGGACCACCUCCCCCUGCUCAUCCACGCCUGCCAGGAUUUCCUCCUGGAGCAGCACCAGGCAGAGGCAGCUGGAGGCCAGUGGGUCAGUGAGUGUCACUGCUUCCUAGCUGCCCUGGCCCCCAGAGAGACCCAGGCAACCUCCACACAGGUUGUGUCUCUGCUCAGGAUAGGCAGAUUGGAGGAGUGCGUGACCAUGUGCAGUCACAUCCUUGAAUCAACCUCGGCUGGCGGCAAACUCCAAGGAGAGUGUCCAUCCGUCCUGCUGGUCACUCGGGCAGCAGCCUCUUUCUGCCUUGGUCGCCGGAGCCGGGAGAUACUUCAGGACCUCCAGGAAGCCUUCCGGCUGAACCCGGACCAUGCAAAGAGGCAGUUGGAGGAGGUGUUCUCACCCAGAGACAUGGAUCAGAUCCUGGCGCAGGCCCAGGAGAUAUUGGAGAGGGACUUUUCCCUUUUCAGAGAGGCAGUGAGAGCUCGCGUGGAGCUCCGAGCCGAUGGGGGCACAGAGCUACUGCCUCCUAUCAUACACACCCUGCGCUUCCUCCUAUGUGUGGCUCCCCUCGGGGCCCAGCGGGAGCUGACUGUCCGGCUCAUUGACUGCCUGCUGUUGUCUGGUGACAGCCACGCUGCCCUGGGGCUCUGCGAUCGCCUCCUUGGGUCCGAGCACCCCACCUACCUCAGCACCUUGCUCACGCUUCGGGGUUUCUGCACCCUCCAUGCAGGGGAGGCAGGGCGAGCC
This 1148-nucleotide long non-coding RNA is filed under the name Vombatus ursinus (common wombat). Its description in RNAcentral is "lncRNA (ENSVURG00010023928.1)". Lineage: Eukaryota; Metazoa; Chordata; Mammalia; Diprotodontia; Vombatidae. The record is from RNAcentral.